Molecule: ribosomal RNA, 390 nt
Filed under: uncultured bacterium
Lineage: Bacteria
Description: bacterial SSU rRNA
Rfam family: Bacterial small subunit ribosomal RNA
Source: RNAcentral
AUUGAACGCUGGCGGCAUGCCUUACACAUGCAAGUCGAACGGCAGCACGGGAGUAAUCCUGGUGGCGAGUGGCGAACGGGUGAGUAAUAUAUCGGAACGUGCCCGGUCGUGGGGAUAACGUAGCGAAAGCUACGCUAAUACCGCAUACGAUCUAAGGAUGAAAGCGGGGGAUCGCAAGACCUCGCGCGAUUGGAGCGGCCGAUAUCAGAUUAGGUAGUUGGUGAGGUAAAGGCUCACCAAGCCAACGAUCUGUAGCUGGUCUGAGAGGACGACCAGCCACACUGGAACUGAGACACGGUCCAGACUCCUACGGGAGGCAGCAGUGGGGAAUAUUGGACAAUGGGCGGAAAGCCUGAGUCCAGCAAUGCCGCGUGAGUGAUGAAGGCCUUA